UGCUCAAUGAUUAUUAAAUAGCCGCAGUACUCUGACUGUGCAAAGGUAGCAUAAUCAGGUGGCUUUUAAUUAGAGUCUGGUCUGAACGAAAAUAUGGGUAGUAACUGUCUUAGCACAUUUUUUCGAACUUAUUAAACAAGUGCAAAUGCUUGUAAUUUAACAAUAGACGAGAAGACCCUAGAAACUUGGACAAGUUUUUGUUGGGGCGACAGAAUUACACUUAACUAAUCUUAUAAUACACGACGCGAUGUUGAAAGAAUAAGUUACUCUAGGGAUAACAGCAUAAUUUCAAUAGUUUUGUGACCUUCGAUGUUGGACCUAGGGUACUAUACCCCUUUAAGGCAANGGAUAUAUUAUGCCC
This 361-nucleotide ribosomal RNA is filed under the name Helix pomatia (Roman snail). Its description in RNAcentral is "partial 16S ribosomal RNA". It matches the Rfam family "Archaeal large subunit ribosomal RNA", at positions 1952 to 2664 of the family's 2987-position model. The record is from RNAcentral. Lineage: Eukaryota; Metazoa; Mollusca; Gastropoda; Stylommatophora; Helicidae.